Molecule: long non-coding RNA, 4261 nt
Organism: Lynx canadensis (Canada lynx)
Lineage: Eukaryota; Metazoa; Chordata; Mammalia; Carnivora; Felidae
Exons: 2
Source: RefSeq, a predicted model, not a curated record
AAUAAACAAAUAAAAAUAAAAUUCUUCCUUUUUUGUUACUGUUGACGUCCGCAGUGUUUAGGGGGACAAGUCUGCCUCAAAAGUCAUUUUGCCCCCGUGUCCGUGAGGAAGUGCCUAGGAAGUGUGCCUGUCCUGUGAGACACAGCGUCACCCAGCAAGGUGGAGGGUGUCCCUGCUUCCUCUGGUGCCCGGCCCACGGGGCCCCCCUCAGCUGUCCUCACCACGCCUUAGGAAGCUGGUUUACCUACACCAGGAUUCACUACAGGUCGCGUCACAAAAGGAAAUGUUCUGUGUAUUCAGAGCCAAGUGAGGUCCCGGUCAUGGGAGGUCCAGGGCACCUUUGCUGUAGGGGCCCGGUGAGGAAAUGUCCCCCAGUGAUUCCAGGGUCCCUCUGCACCUGCUGGGGAAGGACCCGCCUCUGUUUCUGCUUCUGAUUCGUUCACUGAUGCAACAACACCUGCCAAGUAGAGGCAUCCCCAGGGCCCGGGUUCUGUCACCCCAAUUCACGAUCUCCAUCCGUGGGAUGAUGCUGACAGAUUCACCUGCCCCUGUCGCUCCCCUCCCUCUAAGGGCUCCCCCUCCCAGACCUGCCCAAGCCCUGGAGCCCCAUAGAAUAAGGGGAAGCCCUUCUGAUCGUCGUCAGCUGAAACACUGGGUCCUCACAGGAUGGCUGAAUCCCAGGUAGCCUGCUUCUCAGAGAUGCUGGCCACCUGCCCCACCUGACGUCCCGUGAGCACAUGGAAUAAUUCAGACACUGGCCGUACUCAACCCCAACCCACUGCUAUGGACCGGGUGAUGUCCCCUACAUUCUUAUGUUGAAGUCCUGACCCCCAGGGUGAUGCUGCUUGGAGGGGGGGCCUUUGGGAGGUGAUCAGGUUUAGAGCAGGUCAUGGGCGGGGCGGGGGGGGGCAUGAUGAGGUAAAAACCGCAAGGCAGCUCAGGAAGCCACCGUCCUGCUCGGCUCUGGGAAGUGCGCCCUCCCCCGACGUCUCCCCAUCUCCGGGCCUCCACGGGGCUCACUCCAGACUGGCAACCGGCAGGAGGCCGCGUCUGGGGAGGAGAUGGGCAAAAGACAACUGGAGUUUUUGCCGCGGUUCUAAGCCACGUCCUCCGAUUCAGCCGGACCGCAGAGUACGAGUAGCAACAGGUUCCCGGAUCAGCCUCUCUGUUAGCUCAGGCCUCACCGCGCCACGGUGGGACUGCGGCCCCGAGACCCCUGCCGCUUGGACACGGAGACUUGGACCUUGCCAGGUUAUAGACCAGGGAGGCUGUGGGUCUGGAUGAGAAACCACAGGAGGUGAGUGGGGACGGUCUCGGGAGGAACAGGACAAGGGAGCUAGAAAGAACAGAGAGGCCACGGCUCCACGGGGCUGUGAGGUGUCCCCAAGGCCAGGAACAAGAUGACUUCAGGGAGAAAUGUGGCAGGAGCUGUCGGAACGGCCUUUGAAAUGGAGCAGGUCUAGGUGAUGGCGAGCCGGAAGGCGGAAAGGGGAAGUCGGGAGAGAGCAGACGUCCAGGCCCCAGGAGGGCGGGUGCUGUGUGUAAACAGGGACACUGGGGUCAGCGGGAUAAGGGCACAAACUGGGCAGAAACACACUUACUGUAAAGUCUGCCAGGAAUGAAGGAAAGGAGGCAGCAAGGUGGCAGGUGCCAGGAAAAGGGACGUUGCUGGUAACCGCAGGGCAGGUGCAGAAAAAAAAAAAGUUUGGGGACAACGGGUGGGAGGGUGAAGUCCAGAAACAUCCACGUGGACCCAUAGGGACGCAGCGCUCACCCCAGACGCUGCUGCUGGGAGCGAGAGGAAAGUGACCAUAGUCUGGGAGGGUAGCAGGGUCCUCAGGACCCUCAGGCAUGCCUCACAGGUCAGGGCAGCGAGCCUACCUCUUCGCAGGGCCAGGGCGCUCCCCGCGUGUGGCUGGCACACUUCCUGGAGCGCGGAAGACCGAAGCCAGGGGUUGCGAUGGCUAUCGGCCGAGAACAUCUUUUCUCAAGGCUUCCAGAAGGGGUGCGUACCUAUUGGGAAAACUAUCGCCUCGGAGGCCUGGACGCCCCGAGGGUGUCUGCAGAGCCGCAGAUGUCCAGGGCACCUUCCUGUGGGUACCCGUGACUUCCGAGAACUCCUUCCCCUCCGUGUUUUAUAACAUUUGAACUGGCUUUCCUGAAAGUUUAACCGGAACAGGGAGCUCUGUGUGGUGUAGAUCUGUAGAUUGCUGGAAGGUCUCUCCCCGCCGGAGGCCCCCCGAGAAGAGGGCUUGGUUGGAUCAUAGACCCCCACAGGCCCCAAGGGUCCAAGACCCGGAUCCAGACGUGGAGCUUCUCUGUGAUGUGGGAAUGAGGAUUCCAGACUUGUCUGCCUCGGGGGAUUGUGGGGGAAACUAACACACUUUAGGUUUACAUGCAUUUCGUUUGAUAAGUACUCACCUAGGGCCACUGGGGGCUGGGGCUCGGGCAAGAUGAGGUCUCUGCCAUCCGAAGACCUCAGUCCGGUGGGGGGACAGGCAGGUAGCCAGACAGCGGCAACACCAGGAGAGGUGGGAGAUUCUUAAUAAUGACCAUGGUUCCCUUCUGCACCCUGUCAACAUGGGCUAAGUGCUUUGCCUACGUGAAUUUCAUUGAAUCCUGUGUCAAUUCUGCCAAGAAGCACAAUCCCCCCAGGAGAGGAGAAUUUAAUGAGGAGACAGUCUCCGGGAGGUGAAGAAACUUGCCAGCAAGGAAGGGGUGCACCCAGGACUUUAAAAGCAAGGUACUGAGCUCACGAGUCCUGGCUGAGAAUUAAGCACCUCCAUUCCCCACAAGAGUGUGGGACCAGGGGACUGUCAGCUUUGUUCUAGACUGAAGCACUUUGGAGAUGAGCCCCCAGGGGCUGGUCCCAGGUGGUAGAGUGGGUCCUGCGCUGGGAAAGCCCAAGCUGUCCAGAGGCUCCCCUUCUGACCCCGCCAGGAGCGCUGGCCCGGCCACCUAGCAAUGGUGGCCACCAGAGGGCGCAACGGACCCGCCUUCGGCAGGAUUCCUUUCAACACUGGGUUUGGUUGGGAGCCAGACAGCAAGCAGUUGAAAAGCACAUGAGAAAACACACACACACCCAUGGGUAGGCUGCAGCCUCCUGGGGCUGAUGACCGUGGGUCUGGGCCGCGGAUACAGAGGGCCCAGGACAGCCUGGGGGUACGGACCAUAUCGAUUCAUUCGUCCACGUUCGUUGAGUGCAGAGCUCCGUGACCGCCGUGGGCGGGCAGUCAUUCCUGUGCUGUCCUGAUAUAACCGUCUUGUGUUUCCAGUGGAGGUGGUCAAACCAGCCAUGGGAAGCCACCGUGACACGUGGCUACAGGAAGUCAGGGUUCCGUGGAGCACAGGGCCUGAGCGUGUCUAGGGAGAUCAAGGGAGACUUCCCGGAGGAAGAGGCUGAGCCGUGAGGGGUAAGGAUGGUCACCCAAGCAACGGUGGGAGAGCAUGCCAGGCAGAGGGACGAGCACGUGCAAAGGCCCAGAGGCGAGACAGGGUGUGGCACAAUCACAGAGCGGCAGAUGCUCCGUGACACCGAGGCAGGGAGGCAGGAACGAGAGACGGGGGUCGGAGCAGCGGGGUCCAGGUGUCUUGCGAAUUUGGGGGGGGAUUGGGCUUUAUUCUCCGGAAAACCGAGGGCACUGAAGGGUGCAGCCCAGAGCAAGCGGGGAAGCCCAAAGUGCCCCCUCCAGAAGAACACUUGGUGGGGCGGUUGGACGCAUAUUUACGUCACGUGUGCACUUCACAAAGUGCCCCACACCCUUGCUCUCAUUCAGCAGCACCCUGCCAGGAACAGGGGAGCAGACCCGAGCUGAUGGCUGAGAUAGGACAGCAGUGAGUCAGAGACAGACAGGGCCGGGACUCAGGAUGGGGAGCUCUGCACUCCCCAGCUCUGCACACCGUCCCGCUGCUGGCAGGGCUGGGGGAAGGGCUGGGGGGGGGGGCGUCUCCCCAGUUGGACACUGAGCCCCUCGUGACCGAGACCAUCCCGCAUUCCCAGAAGCGAGCAGAAAGCCUGGUCCAGGAGCACGAUGCACGUGUGAGGGAUCGGAGAGGUUUGAAUGGAACGGAUGGGUAAUGGUGUAUUUUAACAGAGUUGCCAUCACAGAGAAUGAUCUAUUUUUACAUUUUACUGGCUUGUUAUUUUGCAACCAUUAAUUUCCACAUUGAAAUGUGCGAAAACUUCUUAGCAGAGUUUCUAGAAUAUAGUUUAUGUCCAAAAGAAAAGAAAGAAAGAAAGAGGAGGAGGAGGAGGAGGAAG